UGAGGUAAUCACUCCAUUGAAUCCUGCCAGCAGUUUGACAACAGUGAGAACGAACUGCUCCUCCUCAAACUUGGCAGGAGCAUUGCAACAGCUAGAGCUUUCUGCACACCUUGAUGACAUUUACAAGUUUCUUCUUUAGCCAUAAAACAGUUGCUGAUCAUUUCCUAUUAAGUGAUUAAUCUACAGUCAAAUCUGAAGGUCAUCAAAGUGAUUCCAAAUGCCUUGGAGAGCCAUUUUCUCUCGCAAAAAAGUGUCAUUCUGCUGAAGCUGGUGACCUCAGUGGGGAACUUCUACCAUUAGGAAAGGAUGAAAGGCUUUUAAUGUCACUUC
Oreochromis niloticus (Nile tilapia) is the source of this 330-nucleotide long non-coding RNA. RefSeq lists it as uncharacterized. NCBI's taxonomy places the organism in Eukaryota, Metazoa, Chordata, Actinopteri, Cichliformes, Cichlidae. The transcript has 3 exons. The record is from RefSeq and is a predicted model, not a curated record.